UUAUAUAGUAUUUUGCUACGCACGCCACUUGCUCGUUAAAUUGCCUAUGUUACUAACCAUGAAUGUCCUACCUGAGCGCGUAUUAUUAAAAGCAAUCCAAAAUGCCAAUACCAGUAACCCUAAAUCAUGCCAUCUGUUCGAAAUGUCACAGAAUCAAAUAUUCAUAAAUCACGCUGAUUAGAACAUAAAAAGGUAACAAUUGUAAGAUCACCCUAAGAUUGUUCUGUUUCUUUAGGCUUUAUCUAAUAUAUAUUGUUAGCGGUAAGGUGCCUACAUCUAUUACUUGUAUGGGGCUUUGGUUGCACUCGGCAAUUGGCAAGGCGUGGUAGCCUCCAGUUUUUAUCUAGUAGUAAUAUUAUAUUCUAGUUUUUAUAAUCGUCUCUGUAGAAAUAAAACCUAAUAAUUGUUCAUGCCAAUGCUGAUUGCUGCAGAGAUGAAGCUUGGUCGAGACCAUGCUGGAGCAACAGUUGAGGUUCCAUCUGAAGAGAUUCUUCGGAAGUCUGUGUAAGGAAGAAUGUCUUUAAUAAUACGAAUUACGAAGUAGUUUGUAUAAUGAUGUAUGUUUGAUGACUGGCCCUAGCGCUAUAUUUUCAACAACGUUCUGUUAUGAGCUCCCUGUGAAAGACUAUCCUGUUCUGAGUUCCAUCAAUUACUCUGCUAACAUUUUCUUUAUUUGGUGGAAAUCCAUUUGCGUGCCAAUAUCUUCUGUACUAGAAACAUUAUCAUUGUUAAAAUAACUUGUCACAAGUGUUUUUGCCUUG
This 761-nucleotide unclassified non-coding RNA is filed under the name Hevea brasiliensis (rubber tree). Lineage: Eukaryota; Viridiplantae; Streptophyta; Magnoliopsida; Malpighiales; Euphorbiaceae. The record is from RNAcentral.